This 784-nucleotide unclassified non-coding RNA is filed under the name Zea mays. Its description in RNAcentral is "misc RNA Zm00001eb080900". The record is from RNAcentral. Lineage: Eukaryota; Viridiplantae; Streptophyta; Magnoliopsida; Poales; Poaceae.
UUCGGCAUUGACAAUUUUAAAAGGGUUUUUUACAUUGGUCCCCUUAGUAUCGCCACACUACUUGUUACUACCCUUAGUUUUUCUUGUUACUCAGUUUUACCCAACACUGAUUCCCUUUGCUCACAAAUGCGCCUGGACGCCGUCUCCGUUCACUUUAACGUUACUUACAGGAUGGACCCACUACAAACUUUCACUAUCUUCUGCGCAGCAGCCUCUUCUUCCCCGAUCCCGACUCCAACUCUCCCUCUCUCCUUCGCCUCGGCGGCACGGCAGCCUGCUUCUUCACCGGGGUGGCUGCUUCUUCACCGGCGCGGCGGCCUGCUUCUUCACCCGCGCGGCGGCCUACUUCUUCGACGACGCGGAGGCCUGCGGCGGACGCGACGCGGCGGCCUUCCGGGCGGUCGGAUCCGCGGACGAACGGAUCUCCGGCGCCUGUCAGAUCUUCGAACGCGGCGCGGUGGCCUACCGGGCGGACGGAUCCACGGAUGAACGGAUCUCCGGCGUCACGGCUUGCUUCUUCACCGGCGCCGCGGCCUGAUUCUUCGACGGCACAGCGGCCUGCCGGUCUUCUCCAGGCGGGCGGACGCGGCAGCCUGCCGGUCUUCUCCAGGCGGGCAGACGCGGCAGCCUGCCGGUCUUCUCCAGAGCUCGGAUUCCAAAUCGGUGAUUACUUGAGCGUUGCAAUCAUGUAGAUGGUGCCCGCACCUGAUGUAAUUGAUGUAAUGUCAAAAGGGCUCUGGUUGCAACAGUAAGGCAUGAUUCUCUGUUAGCACUAGGAACUGGA